RNAcentral lists this ribosomal RNA (1132 nucleotides) under uncultured bacterium. RNAcentral describes it as "bacterial SSU rRNA". It matches the Rfam family "Bacterial small subunit ribosomal RNA", at positions 243 to 1399 of the family's 1533-position model. The record is from RNAcentral.
AGGUAGUUGGUAAGGUAAAGGCCUACCAAGCCGAUGACGGGUAGCCGGUGUGAGAGCAUGGCCGGCCACAUGGGCACUGAGACAAGGGCCCAACUCCUACGGGAGGCAGCAGCAGGGAAUCUUGCGCAAUGGGCGAAAGCCUGACGCAGCAACGCCGCGUGGGUGAAGAAGGCCUUCGGGUCGUAAAACCCUUUUCUCAGGGAAGAAGCCCUGACGGUACCUGAGGAAUAAAUCUCGGCUAAUUACGUGCCAGCAGCCGCGGUGACACGUAAGAGGUGAGCGUUAUCCGGAUUUACUGGGCGUAAAGGGCGCGUAGGUGGCUGGAAAAGUCCCUCGUGAAAUCUCCCGGCUUAACCGGGAGGGAGCGGAGGAUACUUUCUGGCUUGAGGGCAGCAGAGGAAGGUGGAAUUCCCGGUGUAGCGGUGAAAUGCGCAGAUAUCGGGAGGAACACCGGUGGCGAACGCGGCCUUCUGGGCUGUUCCUGACGCUGAGGCGCGAAAGCGUGGGGAGCAAACAGGAUUAGAUACCCUGGUAGUCACGCCGCAACCGUUGGACACUAGAUAUGGGGGGUAUCGACCCUCUCUGUGUCGAAGCUAACGCGUUAAGUGUCCCGCCUGGGUAGUACGGCCGCAAGGCUAAAAUUCAAAGGAAUUGACGGGGGCCCGCACAAGCAGCGGAGCGUGUGGUUUAAUUCGAUGAUACGCGAAGAACCUUACCAGGGCUUGACAUGCCAGAAGUAGGAACCUGAAAGGGGGACGACCGGUAACCAGCCCGGAACUGGCACAGGUGCUGCAUGGCUGUCGUCAGCUCGUGCCGUGAGGUGUUGGGUUAAGUCCCGCAACGAGCGCAACCCUCGUCCCAUGUUACUCUCUCAUGGGAGACUGCCGGGUAAAACCCGGAGGAAGGUGGGGAUGACGUCAAGUCAGCAUGGCCUUUAUGCCCUGGGCCACACACACGCUACAAUGGGUGGUACAAAGGGCUGCGAACCCGCGAGGGGGAGCUGAUCCCCAAAAGCCACCCCCAGUUCGGAUUGGAGGCUGCAACCCGCCUCCAUGAAGGUGGAGCUGCUAGUAACCGCUGAUCAGCAUGCAGCGGUGAAUACGUUCCCGGGCCUUGUACACACCGCCCGUCA